GUCUACGGCCAUACCACGUUGAAAGCACCAGUUCUCGUCCGAUCACUGAAGUUAAGCAACGUCGGGCUCGGUUAGUACUUGGAUGGGUGACCGCCUGGGAACACCGAGUGCUGUAGACUCCC
RNAcentral lists this ribosomal RNA (122 nucleotides) under Lottia gigantea (owl limpet). The record is from RNAcentral. Lineage: Eukaryota; Metazoa; Mollusca; Gastropoda; Lottiidae.